AGUCCACUGCGACGUUGGUGACUGCCAAUAAAGUUUUUUGAUCUAUGCUUGCAGUUUAAGGGCGUCAGCAGUUCCUGUGGCAGUAGGCCGGGCUUAGUACCCGGAAACUUUAAACGGUGAGCGCCGAUACCCACCUGGUGAAUCCAGGUCAUAAACUGAGGUAAAACGGCGUUGCGGUGGACUC
RNAcentral lists this non-coding RNA (184 nucleotides) under Spirulinaceae cyanobacterium RM2_2_10. RNAcentral's name for it is "6S RNA". It matches the Rfam family "6S / SsrS RNA". Rfam says of the family: E. coli 6S RNA was the first non coding RNA to be sequenced, but its function was unknown until recently. It consists of 184 nucleotides that fold into an extended hairpin structure with a large single-stranded internal bulge. The 6S RNA specifically associates with RNA polymerase holoenzyme containing the sigma70 specificity factor. Lineage: Bacteria; Bacillati; Cyanobacteriota; Cyanophyceae; Spirulinales; Spirulinaceae. The record is from RNAcentral. RNAcentral also lists the same sequence under 1 other name.